AUAAUAAUUAGAUAUAUCACAAAUUUUAAAAAAUUGUAGUGUACAUAUCAAAUUUCUAGUUAAAUUUAGGGCAUACAAUCCAAUUAUUCUACAAAUAAUAUGUAAAAAGUGAUUUUAUAAAGAAAAAUUGAAAAUUACUUGUUAAGGAGCAUUAUAACAGCAAGAGGAGGAAAUGUUUAGAGUGACAUUUCUUCAGAUGGCUCAGAUACUCGGACACAGGUACUGGUGACUCCUGCUUGGCUAACGACAAAGAUGUGCUAAGUGAUUGAACAUCAUUUUGUUUUUAGAAAAUUCUAGUAGAUAUUGCUUUGUAAAUGAUAAUUUUUAUGAUGGGAUCAAUGUGCUAUAGAGAAAACAAAAUGUUAGGUAUAUUCUUUUGUUGAAGAUUUAUUCCAAAUAUAAUAAGUUUGCAAAAUAUUCUAAGAAUUAUUCAUAUUUCUCAUUUUCAAACAAAAAAAUCAGAGAAAAUCUUACAAUUUUCUAAUUUUUCUGCAAACAAUUAUUCUUAUCCUAUACUAUUAUUUGGGAAGUACAUAAUAAAAACUAACCUUAUUUUUUGUAAGUAAUUACAUAGGUAUGCCAUUAGAAAUAGAAUUUCAAAGAUUAAAUUAAUUCAUCUCUUUAAGGAUUAAAAAGUCAAAUACUAAUUUAAUUUAAUAAGAAAGACGAAAUACAUUAUUAAUUUCCAAAACUAUACAAUCAAAAUCAACAUAUAAGAUUUGAUAUAUAAAUUUUAAUU
RNAcentral lists this small RNA (739 nucleotides) under Arabidopsis thaliana (thale cress). RNAcentral describes it as "ATSL259700". Lineage: Eukaryota; Viridiplantae; Streptophyta; Magnoliopsida; Brassicales; Brassicaceae. The record is from RNAcentral.